AGUAGCAGCAGCAGUCCCAAAUGGACUAAAAUUGGAAAUUUUUGGACUUUAAUUAGUCCAAUUUGCAGCAGUAACAGCAGCCUGCAAAGGGCUAAAGAUUUUGGGAUUUAGGACUUAAAAGUCCAAUUUGAUAAGCGACAAAAAUGGUCCGAGCAUUAAGUCCAAUGGCUUGAUUUAGAGACAUGCUUUAUUUCCUUUAUUUGUCUUGCUAUUUGUUUAUUGAUUGAUUGUGAAUUAACUUUUUAUCUAAUUUAGAUGAAUCCUUG
RNAcentral lists this long non-coding RNA (266 nucleotides) under Solanum tuberosum (potato). RNAcentral describes it as "long non-coding RNA (STUB_LNC001992)". Lineage: Eukaryota; Viridiplantae; Streptophyta; Magnoliopsida; Solanales; Solanaceae. The record is from RNAcentral.